Molecule: long non-coding RNA, 8333 nt
Filed under: Homo sapiens (human)
Lineage: Eukaryota; Metazoa; Chordata; Mammalia; Primates; Hominidae
Description: HSALNT0261965
Source: RNAcentral
AAACCCUGUCUCUUACUAAAAAUACAAAAAGUAGCUGGGCUUGGUGGGCAUCUGUAAUCCCAGCUACUCGGGAAGCUGAGGUUGGAGGAUCACUUGAACCUGGGAAGUGGAGGUUGCAAUGGGCCGAGAUCGUGCAACUACACUCCAGCCUGGGUGACAGAGUAAGACUUAAAAAUAAAACAAAACAAAAUAAAAUAAAAUAAAACAAAACUACAAAUACAAAAAUUAGCCAGGUAUGGUGGCGGGUGGCACGCACCUGUAUCUCAGCUACUUGGUAGGCUGAGGCACAAGAAUCACUUGAACCCAGGAGACAGAGGUUGCAGUGAGCCAAGAUCAGGAGACUGCACUCACAGCCUGAAGGACAGAGUGAGACUCUGUUUGAGGAAGAGAAAAAAAAAAGCGUUUCUGAUGUGAUAGAGAUAAUAAAACCUGAGUAACAUGAUAGAGAUUGAUGGGCAGAGGGAAUUUCAGAUGGGGGUGGGAGGGCAUGGGAGACAGCUCUGAGCCUAGACCUGAAGGAGCAGAAAGGGAGAUGGCUGUGAUCAUUUAGGGACAUAGGGUAAGAACGGGGAAAAUGACCUGAGACAGGAAGGGUUUUGAUGUUUGGGGAAAGAGAUAAGCAAAUGUGACUGGGGCGGAGGGAGUCAUUAGAUUAGGGCAAGCUCCCAGGAGGAGGCUGGACACUGGCAGGGGCCCUGGACACAGGGCUGUGGAGCCACACUGAUGAGUUGGGCUUUUGUCCUGGGGAACACGGGAAGCUGGUGGAGGGUUCCCUGCCAGGGACUGAUGUGACCUGCUUUACAUUUAGCUGUGAUAUCCUCAGAGUGGGGACAUAUUCACCGAGUUACCCUGAGAAGGUCUGAGAUGAGUGAGAAGGUGUGUCUGAAUUCUUACAUGGGGGCCCAGAAGGGCUAAUGGAAAGGGUUGGUCUUAUCACCUCUCUUUGAAAAUUAGAGAAGCAUCUUUCACAUACCUGGGCUAAAGAAACUUCUUUUGCAACGUUCUGAUGCUAUUGACUUUCAACAUUUAAUUCUUCUUACAAGAAAAUUAUAGUAACAUAUAUAAAAUGCAGAAGUGAAAACACACAGCUACUGACCUUGAAAACAGGGAGGCCAGGCAGGGUGGCUGAGGCCUGUAAUCACAGCACUUUGGGAGGCCAAGGCAGGCAGAUCACCUGAGGUCAGGAGUUCGAGACCAGCCUGAGCAAUAUGGAGAAACCCCCGUCUCUACUAAAAAUACAAAAAUUAUCUAGGCAUGGUGGCUCAUGGUUGUAAUCCCAGCUACUCAGGAAGGUUGAGGCAGGAGAAUCACUUGAACCCGGAGGCGGAGGUUGCGGUGAGCUGAGAUUGCACCAUUGCACUCCAGCCUGGGCAACAAGAGUGAAACUGUGUCUCAAAAAAACAAACAAACGAACAAACAAAAAAAGAAAAUAGGGAAAGAGGGUCAGCUGUAGAACUACUAUAUAAGCAAAUGUUUUCAAUCAAGAAAACAUGGGUGGCCAGAUACAGUGGCUCAUGCCUGUAAUCCCAGCACUUUGGGAGGUCAAGGCAGGUGGAUCACCUGAGGUCAGGAGUUCGAGACCAACCUGGCAAACACAGUGAAACCCUGUCUCUACUAAAAAUACAAAAAUUAGCCAGGCUCCAUCUCCACAACUCAUUUAAUCUCUUGCUGCUCCUUCUCCCCAAUCUUUAGAUCAUCCUCAAUCUCUAUAGAUUUCCACCUCUUCUCCCAUCUCUGUGCAUCCUCUGCUCUCCCUGUUAAAUUGUCUCUUCCUUGUUAUACCUCCCUGGCCCCACUCUCUGGCACCCCAGAUCCCCAGGUGUCCUCCCUGCUGUGCUUCUCCCUCUGUUCUCCUUGCCACCAGCACCACUCUGCUCUGUCUGCCCUGGCUCCAAAUCCCUCCUCCUCUCCCUCACUCUGAUGAGACUCCCUCUUUGCUGUCCCUCUCCCUACCUUGCUGUCCUUCAUCUCUCUGUACAUCUAGCUUUUCUCUACAUUUCUCCAGUUGCUUUUCUCCUCCUGCUUUCUUAUUUUUUUUUUCACUUUUGCUGUCUCUUGGCAAAUCCCUCACCCAUCUUCUACUUUGCCAUCUGUUAUGGGCCUUUCUCAUUCUUCUUUUCUCUGUCUCAGGUUUUUUACUGCUCUCUCUCUGUCUCCUGAUCCCUUUGGCCCACACAAUCACAGGAGGGUUUGGACACCUUCAUGUCAGAGGAGCCCAUUUUCCAGGGGCUGGCACUGGGCAGGGAAGAACACCUUGUGUCACCAUAUAGGCCCCAGGCACCUCCCCAAUGCGGGCCUGGGCAACAGAGCAAGACUUUCUCAAAAUAAUAAUAAUAACAAUAAUAAUUAUGUAUAUAUAUUGCAAAUGCUGUGUUUUCUACGUAAACCAUGGGCUUGGCCACACGCAUUACCUCAUGCCUGUAAUCCCAGCACUUUGGGAGGGUGAGGCGGUGGAUCAUGAGAUCAAGAGGUUGAGACAAUUUUGGCCAGCGUGGUGAAACCCGCUCUCUACUACAAGUACAAAAUUAGCUGGGCUUCUCGGCACGCCCCUGUUGUCCCAGCUACUUGGGAGACUGAGGCAAAAGAAUCACUUGAACUCGGGAGUCAGAAGUUGCAGUGAGCUGAGAUGGCACCAGUGCACUCCAGCCUGUCGACAAAGUGAGACUCUGUCUCAAAAAAAAAUCAUGGGCUUAUCCAUUAAUGCACUUCUGCACAUACUUCAAAUUACAUCCACACACACUUAAAUUAACUUGCGUUCAGAAGGUAUAAGCAAAAACCUGGAGAGGACACAACCAAAGCUACUCACCAGGCUGAGGUGGGAGAAUUGCUUGAGCCCGGAGAGCAGAGGUUGAAGUGAAUCAAGAUCGCACAACUGCCCUCCAGCCUGGGGGACACAGCGAAACUCCAUCACCUCCACCCCCCAAAAAGUUGGAAGCUCACUGAAUUAAGAUACAACUUCAAGAAAUCAUAAAAGCAAUGCAUGAAGAACAUGAGAAGGACAACCAACAUACAGAAAUUAUGACGAACUACACAGAAACUCUCGGGAUAAAAAUACAGUAACUAAAUGGAAAAACUCAAUACAUGGGUUCAAAAUCAGAAUUCAUUAUGUAAAUUAAAAACUAGUGAAGAGGGGUCAGGCAAGGUGGCUCACACCUGUAAUCCCAGGACUCUGGGAGGCCGAGGUGGGUGGAUCACUUGAGGUCGAGUUCAGAGAACAGUCUGGCCAAUAUGGUGAAACCUUGUCUCUACUAAAAAUACAAAGAUUAGCUGGGUGUGGUGGCUGGCUCCUGUAGUCCCAGGUACUCUGGAGGCUGAGUCAAGAGAAGCACUUGAACAUGGAAGGCAGAGGUUGCAGUGAGCCGGAUUGCCCCACUGUACUCCAGCCUGGGUGACAGAGCAAGACUGUCUCAAAAAAAAAAAAAAAACCAAAAAACAAAGAAAGAAAAUUCCAGGACUAUCUUUUAUACACCUGAGCAAAAGGAAUGUCUCUCUCCAUGUCUAAGGUUCUGAUGGCAUGAAUCCUAAACAUGUAAUUAUUUUCCCAGAAAUAUGACAGUAAUACGUUCAAAAUAAACACAAGUGUGAACACAUAGCUAUAGGUGUUUAAAACACUGAAAGAGGCCAGGCGCGGUGGCUCACGCCUGUAAUCCUAGCACUUUGGGAGGCCGAGGCAGGUGGAUCACGAGCUCAGGAGAUUGAGACCAUCCUGGUCCACAUGGUAAAACCCGGUUUCUACUAAAAAUACAAAAAUUAGCCUGGCAUGGUGGUGUGUGCCUGUAAUCCCAGCUACUCGGGAGGCUGAGACAGGAAAAUCAUUGGAACCCGGGAGGCAGAGGUUGCAGUGAGCCAAGAUCACACCACUGCACUCCAGCCUGGGUGACAGAGUGAGACUCCUUCUCAAACAAAACAAAACAAAACAAAAACCAAAACAACAACAACAACAAAAAACACUGAAAGAGAGGCAAUGGUAGUCAUAAGCUGUAAGCAAAUGUUUUCUUCAUGAACACAUGGGCUCUGCUGGAACAAGGUUCCAAAACAAUCCAGCCCAUCGUUCAACAUCUGCAAGGAAUAUUAUGAACCAGAGGAACUUGAGGGAGACAUUUACUUAGAAGCUCACAGCUCACCAUUUUAUCAGAUGACAUAAGGAAAGAAAAUAGAAUAGGCUACUUGAACCAAAUUUUGAUGUUAGCGUAAAGAAGAAAGGUCCUGGGGCCGGGCGUGGUGGCUCACACCUUAAAUCCCAGCACUUUGGGAGGCCGAGGUGGGUGGAUCACCUGAGGUUGGGAGUUUGAGACCAGCCUGACAAACAUGGAGAAACCCCAUCUCCACUAGAAAUACAAAAUUAGCUUGGCGCAGUGGCACAUGCCUGUAAUCCCGGCUACUGGGGAGGCUGAGGCAGGAGAUCACUUGAACCCAGGAGGCGGAGGUUGUGGUGAGCCAAGAUCGCGCCAUUGCACUCCAGCCUGGGCAAUAAGAGCAAAACUCCAUCUCAAAACAAACAAACAAAAUAGGUCCUUGAUAUCUUUAUAAAGUACACAUUGAAACAACCUAAAAUUGGCCAGGCACGGUGGCUCACACCUGUAAUCCCAGCACUUUCUGAGGCUGAGGUGGGCGGAUCACCUGAGGUCAGGAGUUCAAGACCAGCCUGGCCAACAUGGUGAAACCCCGUCUCCAUUAGAAAUACAAAAAUUAGCCAGGCGUGGUGGCAGGCGCCUGUAAUCCCAGCUACUUGGGGGCUGAGGCAGGAGAAGAGCUUGAACCCAAAAGACGGAGGUUGCAGUGAGCCGAGAUCGUGCCAUCACACUCCAGCCUGGGGGUAGAAGGGAGACUUUGUCUCAAAAAAAAGUAAGAAAGAAAAAAAGAAACAACCUAAAAUCAUUUAUCAGGUACUAGUAAAUGCUUCCAAUAUAUGAUACAGACUAGAAAGCAUGCAGUCUUCUAUGUAAACUGAACACAACAAAUUUCAUAGAGAAACUUUUAAAAUGGUUAAAAAUAUAUACAUCUAAAAAUGUAUAUAUCUAAUAAAAUGUAGGGUCAAAGAAGAAAAUUUUGAACUCAUAUCAUAGUUGGAAAACAAUGAUGUGAGCUCAUAAGAUUCUACCAAAGCUUAUUUGAAAAGUAGUUAUCUUACUUUUUUCAGACGGAGUCUCGCUCUGUCACCCCAGGCUGGAGUGCAGUGGCAUGAUCUCAGCUCACUGCAACCUCCCCCUCCCUGUCCAAGGGAUUCUGCUGCCUCAGCCUCCUGAGUAGCUGGGAUUACAGGCGCCCGACAUCACACCUGGCUAAUUUCUGUAUUUUAUUCGACACGAGAUUUCGCCAUGUUGACUAGGCUGGUCUCGAACUCCUGACCUCAGGUGAUCUGCCCGCCUUGGCCUCCCAAAGUGCUGGGAUUACAGGCAUGAGCCAUUGCACACGGCCUUUAUUUUUAUUUAUUUAUUUUUUAAUUAAGAAACAAGGCGGGCAUGGUGGCUCAUGCCUGUAAUUCCAGCAUUUUGGGAGGGCGAUACAGCUGGAUCGCUUGAGCCCUGGAGUUGGAGACCAGCCUGAGCAACAAGGCAAAAGCCCGUCUCUACCAAGUACACAAAAAUUAGCGCGGUGUGGUGGCGCGCGGCUGUGGUCCCAGCUACUCUGCAGGCUGAGGUGACAGGAUCGCUUGAGCAUAGGAUGUUGAUGAUGCAGUGAGCUGUGAUCCUGUCACCGCUCUCCCGCCUGGGCAACAGAGUGAGACCCCAUCUCCAAUAAAAAAGAAUAAAAAAGAAAUACCUGGGUCCUGGGUCUGGGGGCAGCGAAUCUAAGGCCAAUUAAGGCAAACUUUCUAAAACUAGACAAAAAGGAAAAACCCCAUCUCCCCAUCCGGAGUAACAAAGGAUCAAAGGCCGCUGUCCCUACCGCCCUCCUCCUUCCACCACGUCUCAGAAAGGGAAAGAGCCCAGGAGUGGCCAUGGCCAAGCACCGGCCACACCUUCAUCUGCAUAGGGCACCCAUCUGCUCCGGCCUCGGGCCAAUUCACCUCAGCAUUUCGUUGGCCAAGGGCCAAAAAUCCUUCAUCCAGAUAAGGGGUAGCCCAUAGGGACCUCAAAAUAAAUACUUUAACCCCCUAAAACUUUCUAAACGGGUCCCCGGAGACGCUGGCUCGGGCCCACUCCCCUCUGUGGAGUGCUUUCUUGAUUGCAUAUAUUCGUUUUCCAGGAGUUGGAACUAGGUAGCAACACCGCACAAGGAGGGAGGUGGGGAGCGACGGAGCCUUCGGACAGGGGUGGCGUCUGCAGGAUCUUAGGACCAGGCAGAGGACGCGGCCUCCCGGGAACCGGGGUUGAGGCGCGGCGCUCCUGAAGCCGCCGAGAGCGACGGUGGGAGGCGCCUAGGGCUGGAAUCCAGCUCGCGGGUGAGGACUUGAAACAGCGCGAGGCGGGAGGACAGGUCAGGAAGGGUUUUGAGAAGGAAAAUUCCGCGAUAGGAGGUGUCUGCACGACCCCACUGCAGAAAGACCGAGGACGGGACCUGCCUCAGGGCCACUUUAAACUCGAAGGGACUCACGGACUCUCACCCGGACGUCUCAAUUUGCUCUGGGUUGAGAAAGAGGGGCCGCAAUUUCCAGGUCUGUGGGGACUCAACGUCCCCGGUAUAGCAGCACCACAGGACUGGGAAGCACACAUAAAACAGAGCGAAACUCACGCGCUGUGGUGUGACCUUCAGUCCCUGCCAUCCGCUUCCGGGUCUAUGCCAAUCAGCGCAGGACAGAGGCCAGGCCUGGGCGGGACCCCCGAGAAGGUUUUGGAGGCGAAAGCCGCCAGUGAGGCUGGAGCAGCUCAGCAGUCAUUGAAAUAGUACCUCCCUGAGAAGUCAACGUGAGGCGGUCAUUGGACCCAGGAAAGUUCCUUGCUAUUGAAAUUAAUUUUAGCAAUUUAUGUCCAAAAUCUGGAAGUUGUCAAGGGAAGGAAUGCAAACUAGAAUGCGAAAUACAAAGCUCUGCCUCAGCGAAACCUCCAAUUUCCUGCUGACGGCCCACAGAACAGAAUAGCAAAUCCUCUCCCUUUCUAUUUUCCAUUCACUGGGGUGGGAGAAUCCACCCUGUGCUCAGCUCCAGAGACUUCCUCAGGGCCACCGCCUGGGGUGCGGAGCGGAGGCCUCAGGCCAGGGAGGAGUGAGGUCACCACCUCCUGCUUAAACACAGCAGGGAUGUGGGCGAGGUGGCGAGUCUGGGGUCCCGGCUACUCAGGAAGCAGGAGCCGCAAGACCGCUGAGCCCGGAGGUCCAGGCCAGCGUGGGCGACAAAGUAAGACCCUCUACCCCAGAGCUCCUUCCUCCGCCUCAAUAAGAAAAAAAGGGAUUUUUAAAAAAAGCAUUGACAUUGUAACAGUGUGUAGCAGGGCUAGCGGCAGACAAAACUUCUCAGACACUGAGUUGUAGAAGGAAGGGCUUUAUUCAGCUGGGAGCGUCAGCAAUCUACUGCCUUGAAAUCCGAGCUCCCUGAAUGCACAAUUUCUGUCCUUUUUAAGGGUUCACAACACUAAAGAUUUCACAUGAAAGGGUCGUGAUUGAUUUGAGCGAGCAGGCGGUACGUGACAGGGGAUGCAUGCACCGGUGGUCAGAGAGAAACAGAACAGAGCGGGGAGUUUUACAAUGUUCUUCUAUACAAUGUCUGGAAUCUAUGAAUAACAUUGGGUUCUAAGCCAUAAGUUGAUUUUUAACUACUGGGUUUAGGCCAGGCAGGCCCAGGCCUGGUUUCGGGCCUGGCCCCGGGGCUGCCUGUCUUUGGUUUUACUUUCUUGUUGUUUUUUCUUAAAACAGGUACUGAGUAUAAAACAAUAUGAGAGGGUCUCUGUCUUCCUUUAUUUCUUCUUUUUGAGAGUCUCACUUUUUAUUAGUGGGAGUUCUUACUCUUGUUUUUGCUACUUAUGUCUUUUUGUGUAAUAGAUUGAUAGUGAUUCAUAUAGUACACUUGUGCUGAAUCAUUUUGGUGAACUAAGGUAGCGAUGAAGCUUUUUAUCAUUUGAAGAGGUACAGGUAGCAAACAAGAGAGCAGUAAGCAGCUUUUUAUUACUAUUAUAACUCUUAUUAUAAGAGUUUUAAAUCCUCCUAUUGCUGGGAACUAAUUUUUAAACAUGGCUCCUGGAUUGAGUCCGUGCCACACCUGUACGGGUACAUGUGUCAGUUUUGUUAUAUUUUUAACUAUGUCUUCAACUACUUUCCUCUGAUGAUCUAUGUGUAGACAACAAUUAGUAAGGUUAAAUUUUCUACAAACUUUUCCUUCAGCUGCUAGCAAGUAGUCGAGAGCUAGUCUAUUUUGAUAGAUAGCAUUUCUUUUUCUUUUUUUGGUGAUGGAGUCUCGC